AACUUUUCUUAUAGAUGGAAAAGAAAUUCAAGGAAUAAAUCCAUCUAUAAACUCUCAAAACUGGGGGAAAUCUGUAAUUUCUGGAUGUUUAUUCCACACAUAACUUCCUUAAAAGGCUCCUAUGCUAAAGUUUAACAUUAAUUUCUCUAUUGAGAAAGUGAGGGACUUGGCUAGCCAUGAUUGUGCUUGGGUUCAUUCAUAUUAUGCAUAUAACAAUGUUCCCACUUAGAUUCAUAGAUACCAUGAUAUUGUCUUUCCUCUUUUGCUGCUGUCUUAGAUAAUAAUGUUUGAUAUACUCAUGCACAUGCAAGAGAUAUGACCAAUAAUAAGGAAUGGAAACCACAUACAAUCCCUCUGAAUUUCAUCUUUAGUCUUGGAUUUUAUAUAUAUUAAUUAACGCCAGGCUGAAAGUUGCAUUUUAUUUAUAAAUUGUCUAGUGAAAUUGUCACCACAAAGAAGCCACAUCAAAACUGGAAAGAAAAAGGAGAGGAGAUGGAGAACAAGCUAGAAGAACCACAAACCAAUAAAUCAAAAAAGAAAUUGAAACUCAGAAGAUGCAACAGCAUGGGACGAUUAAAACCACCUUUCUCUAAUGAUCCAGUCAAACCUGAUUCUCAUUGUGAUGUACCAGAGACAGGUCAAGAUGAGAAAACCAAGGACAUGUUUCAGCGCUGAUGUCUGCUGUUUCAUAGUCAGUGAUCUUGCUGACCAAAAACAUUAUGGCCUAAUGGUUAUAGGUUCAAGUCUCAGAUCCGGCAGGGAUUGUCAUUGUCAGUGAAUCAGUGAAUCCCCAAUUGCUCCCCAGGUGCUGUAGCAUUGGCUGCCCACUGCUCCGGGUGUGUGUUCGUGGCGUGGGUGUGUUUAUUCACCAAAAAAGUUUUUACGCUCGGAUGAGUUGGUUUUU
Labeo rohita (rohu) is the source of this 904-nucleotide long non-coding RNA. RefSeq lists it as uncharacterized. The transcript has 3 exons. NCBI's taxonomy places the organism in Eukaryota, Metazoa, Chordata, Actinopteri, Cypriniformes, Cyprinidae. The record is from RefSeq and is a predicted model, not a curated record.